AACGCGAAGAACCUUACCUGGAUUUGACAUCCUCUGAAGUUAGUAGAGAUAUUAACGGCCCGCAAGGGACAGAGAGACAGGUGCUGCAUGGCUGUCGUCAGCUCGUGUUGUGAAAUGUUGGGUUAAGUCCCGCAACGAGCGCAACCCCUGUGCUUGGUUGCCAUCAUUAAGUUGGGCACUCCAAGCAGACUGCCGUCGUCAAGACGGAGGAAGGUGGGGAUGACGUCAAGUCCUCAUGGCCUUUAUAUCCAGGGCGACACACGUGAUACAAUGGUAGGUACAGAGGGUAGCCAAGUGGUGACACGGAGCCAAUCUCAAAAAGCCUAUCUCAGUUCGGAUUGGAGUCUGCAACUCGACUCCAUGAAGUUGGAAUCGCUAGUAAUCGCGGAUCAGCACGCCGCGGUGAAUACGUUCCCGGGCCUUGUACACACCGCAUAC
Molecule: ribosomal RNA, 438 nt
Filed under: uncultured bacterium
Lineage: Bacteria
Description: bacterial SSU rRNA
Rfam family: Bacterial small subunit ribosomal RNA
Source: RNAcentral